UAAAUUUUAAAAUUAUAAUACUAAAAUAGUAAAUAAUUAUUUAUUAAAACUUAAAUAAUUUGGCGGUAUUUUAGUUCAUUUAGAGGAAUCUGUUUAAUAAUUGAUAUUCCACGAAUAAAUUUACUUAAUUUUUAAUUUUGUAUAUCGUUGUUAUAAAAAUAUUUUUUAAUAAAGUUAAUAUUUAAAAAUUAUUAUAAAAAUUUAAAUCAGAUCAAGAUGCAGAUUAUAGUUAAGAAUAUAAUGGAUUACAAUAAAAUUAUUUAAAUGGAUGUUAAUUUGUAAGAUUUAAUUGAAAGUGGAUUUAAAUGUAAUUUUAUUUAAUUUAAUAAAAUGAUUAAAAAUUAAAAUAUGU
This 352-nucleotide ribosomal RNA is filed under the name Acrapex yakoba. Its description in RNAcentral is "partial 12S ribosomal RNA". Lineage: Eukaryota; Metazoa; Arthropoda; Insecta; Lepidoptera; Noctuidae. The record is from RNAcentral.